CAGUAGGGCCAGCCAUAAACAUGCAAGUCGUACCAAGGUAACCAGUAAGCUUGCUGCUUCGCUGACGAGUGGCGGACGGUUGAGUAAUGUCUGGGAAACUGCCUGAUGGAGGGGGAUAACUACUGGAAACGGUAGCUAAUACCGCAUAACGUCGCAAGACCAAAGAGGGGGACCUUCGGGCCUCUUGCCAUCGGAUGUGCCCAGAUGGGAUUAGCUUGUUGGUGGGGUAACGGCUCACCAAGGCGACGAUCCCUAGCUGGUCUGAGAGGAUGACCAGCCACACUGGAACUGAGACACGGUCCAGACUCCUACGGGAGGCAGCAGUGGGGAAUAUUGCACAAUGGGCGCAAGCCUGAUGCAGCCAUGCCGCGUGUAUGAAGAAGGCCUUCGGGUUGUAAAGUACUUUCAGCGGGGAGGAAGGGAGUAAAGUUAAUACCUUUGCUCAUUGACGUUACCCGCAGAAGAAGCACCGGCUAACUCCGUGCCAGCAGCCGCGGUAAUACGGAGGGUGCAAGCGUUAAUCGGAAUUACUGGGCGUAAAGCGCACGCAGGCGGUUUUGUUAAAGUCAGAUGUGAAAUCCCCGGGCUCAACCUGGGGAACUGCCAUCUGAUACUGGGCAAGCUUGAGUCUCGUAGAGGGGGGGUAGAAAUUCCAGGUGUAGCGGUGGAAAUGCGUAGAGAUCUUGGAGGAAUACCGGUGGGCGAAGGCGGCCCCCCUGGGACGAAA
This 727-nucleotide ribosomal RNA is filed under the name Escherichia coli. RNAcentral describes it as "bacterial SSU rRNA". It matches the Rfam family "Bacterial small subunit ribosomal RNA", at positions 34 to 738 of the family's 1533-position model. Lineage: Bacteria; Pseudomonadati; Pseudomonadota; Gammaproteobacteria; Enterobacterales; Enterobacteriaceae. The record is from RNAcentral.